Molecule: ribosomal RNA, 89 nt
Filed under: Cronobacter sakazakii
Lineage: Bacteria; Pseudomonadati; Pseudomonadota; Gammaproteobacteria; Enterobacterales; Enterobacteriaceae
Also listed under: 8 other names
Source: RNAcentral
CCUGACCCCAUGCCGAACUCAGAAGUGAAACGCCGUAGCGCCGAUGGUAGUGUGGGGCCUCCCCAUGCGAGAGUAGGGAACUGCCAGGC